GACAGAGGGUGCAAACGUUGCUCGGAAUUACUGGGCGUAAAGCGCGUGUAGGUGGAUUGGUGUGUCAGAUGUGAAAUCCCUGGGCUCAACCCAGGAACUGCACCUGAAACUACCAGUCUUGAGUGGUGGAGAGGGAAGUGGAAUUCCUGGUGUAGAGGUGAAAUUCGUAGAUAUCAGGAGGAACACCAAUGGCGAAGGCAGCUCGCUGGGACGUGACUGACGCUGAGACGCGAAAGCGUGGGGAGCAAACAGG
RNAcentral lists this ribosomal RNA (253 nucleotides) under uncultured bacterium. RNAcentral describes it as "partial 16S ribosomal RNA". It matches the Rfam family "Bacterial small subunit ribosomal RNA", at positions 524 to 776 of the family's 1533-position model. The record is from RNAcentral.